RNAcentral lists this ribosomal RNA (467 nucleotides) under uncultured bacterium. RNAcentral describes it as "bacterial SSU rRNA". It matches the Rfam family "Bacterial small subunit ribosomal RNA", at positions 355 to 825 of the family's 1533-position model. The record is from RNAcentral.
UAGGGAAUAUUGGGCAAUGGAGGGAACUCUGACCCAGCCAUGCCGCGUGCAGGAUGAAGGCGUUAUGCGUUGUAAACUGCUUUUUAUAUAGGAAGAAAUAGUCCUUGCGAGGAAAGUUGACGGUACUAUAUGAAUAAGCACCGGCUAACUCCGUGCCAGCAGCCGCGGUAAUACGGAGGGUGCAAGCGUUGUCCGGAUUUAUUGGGUUUAAAGGGUGCGUAGGCGGUUUAUUAAGUCAGUGGUGAAAGACGGUCGCUCAACGAUUGCAGUGCCAUUGAUACUGGUAGACUUGAGUAUGAUUGAGGUAGCUGGAAUGGAUAGUGUAGCGGUGAAAUGCAUAGAUAUUAUCCAGAACACCAAUUGCGUAGGCAAGUUACUAAGUCAUAACUGACGCUGAGGCACGAAAGUGUGGGUAUCAAACAGGAUUAGAUACCCUCGUAGUCCCUGAGCGGGCUGGCAAGGCGCAU